Molecule: ribosomal RNA, 1271 nt
Filed under: Campylobacter coli
Lineage: Bacteria; Pseudomonadati; Campylobacterota; Epsilonproteobacteria; Campylobacterales; Campylobacteraceae
Also listed under: 1 other name
Description: partial 16S ribosomal RNA
Rfam family: Bacterial small subunit ribosomal RNA
Source: RNAcentral
CUAGUUGGUAAGGUAAUGGCUUACCAAGGCUAUGACGCUUAACUGGUCUGAGAGGAUGAUCAGUCACACUGGAACUGAGACACGGUCCAGACUCCUACGGGAGGCAGCAGUAGGGAAUAUUGCGCAAUGGGGGAAACCCUGACGCAGCAACGCCGCGUGGAGGAUGACACUUUUCGGAGCGUAAACUCCUUUUCUUAGGGAAGAAUUCUGACGGUACCUAAGGAAUAAGCACCGGCUAACUCCGUGCCAGCAGCCGCGGUAAUACGGAGGGUGCAAGCGUUACUCGGAAUCACUGGGCGUAAAGGGCGCGUAGGCGGAUUAUCAAGUCUCUUGUGAAAUCUAAUGGCUUAACCAUUAAACUGCUUGGGAAACUGAUAGUCUAGAGUGAGGGAGAGGCAGAUGGAAUUGGUGGUGUAGGGGUAAAAUCCGUAGAUAUCACCAAGAAUACCCAUUGCGAAGGCGAUCUGCUGGAACUCAACUGACGCUAAGGCGCGAAAGCGUGGGGAGCAAACAGGAUUAGAUACCCUGGUAGUCCACGCCCUAAACGAUGUACACUAGUUGUUGGGGUGCUAGUCAUCUCAGUAAUGCAGCUAACGCAUUAAGUGUACCGCCUGGGGAGUACGGUCGCAAGAUUAAAACUCAAAGGAAUAGACGGGGACCCGCACAAGCGGUGGAGCAUGUGGUUUAAUUCGAAGAUACGCGAAGAACCUUACCUGGGCUUGAUAUCCUAAGAACCUUUUAGAGAUAAGAGGGUGCUAGCUUGCUAGAACUUAGAGACAGGUGCUGCACGGCUGUCGUCAGCUCGUGUCGUGAGAUGUUGGGUUAAGUCCCGCAACGAGCGCAACCCACGUAUUUAGUUGCUAACGGUUCGGCCGAGCACUCUAAAUAGACUGCCUUCGUAAGGAGGAGGAAGGUGUGGACGACGUCAAGUCAUCAUGGCCCUUAUGCCCAGGGCGACACACGUGCUACAAUGGCAUAUACAAUGAGACGCAAUACCGCGAGGUGGAGCAAAUCUAUAAAAUAUGUCCCAGUUCGGAUUGUUCUCUGCAACUCGAGAGCAUGAAGCCGGAAUCGCUAGUAAUCGUAGAUCAGCCAUGCUACGGUGAAUACGUUCCCGGGUCUUGUACUCACCGCCCGUCACACCAUGGGAGUUGAUUUCACUCGAAGCCGGAAUACUAAACUAGUUACCGUCCACAGUGGAAUCAGCGACUGGGGUGAAGUCGUAACAAGGUAACCGUAGGAGAACCUGCGGUUGGAUCACCUCCUUUCUA